GUAGCCUAGUGGUUAGAGUGUAGAGGUGGUAGGUAGCCUAGUGGUUAGAGUGUAGAGGUGGUAGGUAGCCUAGUGGUUAGAGGGUAGAGGUAGCCUAGUGGUUAGAGUGUAGAGGUGGUAGGUAGCCUAGAGUGGUUAGAGUGUAGAGGUGGCAGGUAGCCUAGUGGUUAGAGUAUAGAGGUGGUAGGUAGCCUAGUGGUUAGAGUGUAGAUGUGGCAGGUAGCCUAGUGGUUAGAGUGUAGAGGUGGCAGGUAGCCUAGUGGUUAGAGUGUAGAGGAGGCAGGUAGCCUAGUGGUUAGAGGGUAGAGGAGGCAGGUAGCCUAGUGGUUAGAGUGUAGAGGAGGCAGGUAGCCUAGUGGUUAGAGUGUAGAGGAGGUAGGUAGCCUAGUGGUUAGAGUGUAGAGGUGGCAGGUAGCCUAGUGGUUAGAGUGUAGAGGAGGCAGGUAGCCUAGUGGUUAGAGUGUAGAGGUGGCAGGUAGCCUAGUGGUUAGAGUGUAGAGGAGGCAGGUAGCCUAGUGGUUAGAGUGUAGAGGCGGCAGGUAGCCUAGUGGUUAGAGUGUAGAGGUGGCAGGUAGCCUAGUGGUUAGAGUGCAGAGGAGGCAGGUAGC
Molecule: long non-coding RNA, 608 nt
Organism: Oncorhynchus tshawytscha (Chinook salmon)
Lineage: Eukaryota; Metazoa; Chordata; Actinopteri; Salmoniformes; Salmonidae
Source: Ensembl